AGGAGGAUGUGAUCUGUGUCCUAUCUGGAAUAUCAAGGGGAUGAAGGCAAUGGAAGUAGCUACCACUUGGUGACUUAGACAAACUCUUAAUGUAAAACCACCAUCAGAGCCACCCUGGAGUUAUGGCAAGGCCACCACAGUCUCCUCCAAAGGCCACUGAUAUGGAACUGGGAACCUCCCUCCAUAGAAUGCUAAAUGGCUGAUGUGAACUUGGUUAAGGAUCUAUAAUUCUUCUUACGAAGAGGAAAGUUCUGGAAGACCAAAGAAAAUAUGUCAUGAAAUCAAGCCAUUAAGAAGUUGUGACUCCAAAAAAGUAAAAGCGUGAGCUACUGUACACAC
Molecule: long non-coding RNA, 339 nt
Filed under: Homo sapiens (human)
Lineage: Eukaryota; Metazoa; Chordata; Mammalia; Primates; Hominidae
Description: HSALNT0300361
Source: RNAcentral